This 541-nucleotide ribosomal RNA is filed under the name uncultured Gallionellaceae bacterium. Its description in RNAcentral is "bacterial SSU rRNA". It matches the Rfam family "Bacterial small subunit ribosomal RNA", at positions 135 to 671 of the family's 1533-position model. The record is from RNAcentral. Lineage: Bacteria; Pseudomonadati; Pseudomonadota; Betaproteobacteria; Nitrosomonadales; Gallionellaceae.
AGUGGGGGAUAACGUAGCGAAAGUUACGCUAAUACCGCAUAUGCCCUGAGGGGGAAAGGAGGGGAUCGCAAGACCUUUCGCUUUCGGAGUGGCCGAUAUCGGAUUAGCUAGUUGGUGGGGUAAAGGCCUACCAAGGCGACGAUCCGUAGCUGGUCUGAGAGGACGACCAGCCACACUGGGACUGAGACACGGCCCAGACUCCUACGGGAGGCAGCAGUGGGGAAUUUUGGACAAUGGGCGCAAGCCUGAUCCAGCCAUGCCGCGUGAGUGAAGAAGGCCUUCGGGUUGUAAAGCUCUUUCGGACGGAAAGAAAUUGCCACUUCUAAUACAGGUGGUAGAUGACGGUACCGUAAGAAGAAGCACCGGCUAACUACGUGCCAGCAGCCGCGGUAAUACGUAGGGUGCGAGCGUUAAUCGGAAUUACUGGGCGUAAAGCGUGCGCAGGCGGUUAUUUAAGACAGGUGUGAAAUCCCCGGGCUUAACCUGGGAAUUGCGCUUGUGACUGGAUGGCUAGAGUACGGCAGAGGGGGGUGGAAUUCCA